CCUUUGGCUACCUGCCCUCAACCGGUGGCGACCACGUGAUCCCUGAUUUAAGAUUUUUCUCUCUCCUCGCUCAUUAAUUCGCUGCACGCGCUGCUGGUUGCGGACAGACGGCAGCGGUGUGGUCUCCGCAUCCGGUCAGCCACCUGGAGCACAGCAUAAACCCGGUUCAACUCUCCUUUGGCACACCUGGCGUAAAUUUCGUCAUCCAUCCAAGCGGACCGUGUCUAUGGGCUGAACAGCAAGAGCGGCUACUGCGCAUGUGCCAGCUAAUCCAGCAGAUCAUCGCAGCUACACAUCCUGCAGCGGCCUCCCUCUCCCUCCUACAAAGGCAAGUUUCCUUUCCCUUCUGCAACACGAUUGAAUUUACAAAUUACAAUUGGCUUCUGAUUCUGAAGUGUUUCUAAAAUGAUCAUCUUUCUACCAACUGCUUCCAGUGAUGACCACAGUUAAUUAAUCAGCUUGUUUACCUGCAUUCAUUCUUUCAUUCACUGUGUUGUCAUUUAUUGUUUGUCUAUAGUAUUAGUUAAGAAAUGUUAGUGCAUAAUUAUCGUUGAUUCCACCACAUAUUCAUGGAGGUCGGUGAAAUCAGAGUUCAUGACUUUUGAUAAUGACACUGAUCAACUCAAGUAGAUUUGAUCAAUUAUUAACAUUCAAUCUGAAGUAUUAAUUUCCAGAUUCAUAUUCAGCGCUGCCCUUGAUUGUAAAUGGGUGUAAUUUUAAUCAUAAAGUGUAGUUUCAACAUGAUGUGGGGUUGUGUAGUGAGGUUACACAUUGUAAAUAGUCUUUUAUUAUUAUUUGCUGCUCCCAUGUGAGACUAUAUUUCUGUUACACAAUAUCCACAAUAAUAAGUUUGUAGCUGGCUGCUGCUCUCGUUUGACCAUCGGGAGAUAGAACAGCCCACCAGGAAACUGUAAUUUCACUGACGACAUUUUCUCUUCUUCCUUUUGUAUGCUGAUUAUAGCAUGUUUAUUCUCCACUGCCAUGGCAUUAUGUAAUACACAGUCUUUCAGCCCCUGUAUUUAAUCAGCGUGUACAACAGUAGGACCUCCAACAACAGGAAUGCAUCUUUUCUACACUUGUGACUUCUGCACUGAUGAUUUGUGUUCACUUUAGUUUAAAUAAAUGACCUCUGUUUUUGGUAUAACUGUUGCCUAGACUCUGUCCUUGUAACACAUUGGUUCGGUCUCUCCAACUCCCACUGCAUCUUCAAACUCAUGUUUUUACAGCCUUGUGCUUCUUCUCAAGCACCUGGGUGUUUCACAGAAUGUUGCCUCUCUUAUGCUAAUAUUGGACGUUGCCUUCAUAUUGAUGAUGUGAGCAACACAAUGCUGAUGUGCAACUCCACUGAGGACAAACAUGACUCAGGAUGCGAGUCAGUUGUAAACAGGACGAAAUGUAAUGCAGAGUAUUUCAUGCCAAAAAAUGAAAGAAAUCUCACAAAAGGAUCCCGUUAGUCUUGCUUGCAUGUGCAGACUAAUGUUUGCAUAAAGUUGCCAGAGUGUUUGGAUCAACAAAAGGUGCUGGGAACUAUGUUGAAUUCUAGGUUGGUUGUGCUGUCCCGCCAAUUCUUUCUUUCCGUUUCCUAUUUGCAUCUUCAACUCUCCUAGGGUACAUUCUAACUUAGAUGCUCUUCAGCGGAUUUGAACAGAAAAGAAAGCGUCUUAGUUCUUUUCAUAUUUAAUUCAGCUAUUUCUAAUUUACAGAAAUUAAUGAAAUAUGUAUUAGCUAAAAGAAAACUUUACGCCAUACACGUUUCACUAUUGUUUAAAUAUAAAAAGAUACAUAUUGCAUUGAUUUUCUUUAAUAAGCCACAAAAAAAAAUCAUUUAUUCGUGGUUAGGAAGGUUAGAUUCUGAGCUAAUUGGCACAGCACUGCACAUACAGUGCAUACAGAAUGUUUUCACACACUGUCAAGUUUUCAACAUUUUAUUCUGAUUCAGGCUCAUCUUGAAAAAGAUUCAGUGUAUUUUUUAAUCAGCACUUUGCACACAAUACUCCAUAAUAACAAAACAAACAAAAAAAAAGAGACAGGUGUAGCCGGUCUGGCCCAUCCCACCUGUUACACAGAAACAUCCUACGUCUCUACUCUACUAUAUAAACCGAAUCCACUUCUGCCUAACUGAAUUCACUGGACAUCAUUUAAGAAGGACAUCUAUAGAAGGUCCCCCAGCUGAUAGUGGAGGUUGAGAUAAUUGCAUGUAGACAUGAACAUGUCGAAGCACAGAUGUGGGGAAGGAUACAAAAACAUUUCUGAAGCGUGCAAGUGCACAUGAGAGUCCUCUUAGCUCUGACCACCCAAUCAAUAAUAACAGUAAUGGAUUAGAUUUAGGGCUGCUCAGCGGAAUAGUGGUUAGCACUUUCGCCUUGCAGCAAGAAGAUCCCUGGUUCGAAUCCUGGGGUGGGUCUGGGAUCUUUCUGCAUGGAGUUUGCAUGUUCUCCCUGAGCAUGCGUGGGUUUCCGCCAGGCACUCCAGCUUCCUCCCACAGUCCAAAAACAUGCUGAGGUUAAUUGACUACUCUAAAUUGCCCGUAGGUGUGAAUGCGAGUGUGAUUGUUCGUCUAUGUAUGUAGCCCUGCAACAGACUGGCGACCUGUCCAGGGUGUCCCCUGCCUUCGCCCGAGUCAGCUGGGAUAGGCUCCAGCACCCCCCGCGACCCUAGUGAGGAUAAAGCGGUGUAUAGAGAAUGGAUGGAUUAGAUUUAUAUAGCGCUCUUCUAUUCAGGCAUACUCAAAGCACGUACAAUGAAUCCAUCAUUCAUUCACUCACACAUUCUCACUCUGGUGGUGAUAGCCACAGCUGCCCUGGGGCAGACUGACGGAAGUGUGGCUGCCAAUCCGCGCCUACGGCCCCUCCCACCCCCAUUAACAUUCACACACAUUCAUACACCAGUAUGAGAGCAGCACUGGAGGCAAGGCGGGUAAAGUGUCUUGCCCAAGGACACAACAGCACAUGACUAGGUGGGAGCAGGAAUCGAACAGCCAAACCUUCGAUCAUUGGACGACCUGCUCUACCACCUGAGCCACAGCCGCCUCCGACUGAAUAAUCUGUGACGAAGGGCCUUGGUCACAUGUGACCAAGAAACCAAUAGUCACAACGCAUGAGAUUAAGAGUUUCUUUGUGGACAUGAGAGACCAUUACAGAAGGCCAAACAUAGUGCAGGACUCAGGGAAAUUGGUCUUUAUGGUAGAGCGACCAGAUGGAAGCCUUUCCUCACUAAGGUACAUAUAGUUAGCUGGGAGUUUGCCAAAAGGCACCAGAACAAUUCUCAGACCAUGAAUGAUGAAAGGAAGAUUGAACUACUGAGACCCAACUCCUAAUGGCAUGUAUGGAGGAAACCAGGCACUGAGCAUGACCUCAGUAAUACCAUCCAUGCAGUCAAACACGGUGGUGGCAGCAUUAUUCUCUGGGGGCUUUUUUCUGUGGUAAGGAAUGGGAGAUUGAUCAGGACAAAUUUUUUUAAAAAAAUGUAGUAGUUCCAAUUUAAAGCCUUUUCCAGAGUCCCCGUGAUCUCAGGCUGGGAUGACGGCAACAAGACAACAACCUGAACCAUGCUGCAAGACAGGAGUGGCUUUGUGCAAAAUCUGUGAAAGUUGUGGAGUGGUUCUGGAAGAAACCUGUGGGCCAAGCUUGUAGAAUCAUUCAAAAGAAGACUUGAGGGUACCAGAAGUGUUUUACCUGAAUACUGUGCCAAGUGUUUGAGUACCUACAUUACCGUUCAAAAGUUUGGGGUCACCCAGACAAUUUCAUGUUUUCUAUGAAAACUCACACUUUUAUUCAUGUACAAGGGUUUUCUAAUCAUCAAUUAGCCUUUCAACACCAUUAGCUAACACAAUGUAGCAUUAGAACACAGGAGUGAUGGUUGCUGGAAAUGUUCCUCUGUACCCCAAUGUAGAUAUUCCAUUAAAAAUCAGCCACAGAAACUGCUUUUCUUUCAAAAAUAAGGACAUUUCUAAGUGAUCCCAAACUUUUGAACAGUACUGUACGUAAACUUUUAUUUAAAUAAAUAAACUUUGUCAUUGUUAAGUAUUAUGGCAAAUUGUGGAGAAAAAAAACGAUUUUGAUCCAUUUCAAGAGUCCAAAACACAGCAAAAUGCAAAAAAUUAAAAUUAAAAGAGUCACCCUAAGAUCACAUAGCGAAUGACCCCUUAAUGAAAUGGGACUCACGUGUUGGAAGUGUGAACAGUUGUGAACCGUCAGGAAUGACACAAGAUGUUCAUGUUUGUGAAGCUUUCUGGGAAAAGACGUCAACACUGUGAUAUAAGUACCUGGUAAGUGGAGUCUUAGGCUCUGUAAACUGGAACAGCCAUCUGCUAACAGAAGAGGAAAUCUCUGACAACACUUAUCAGGUACUCAUCUUAAGAUCUCUCACCAUCAUUAACACCAUGAGUCAUCCCUGAUCUGGAAGUUUCACAACCGUUCACAUAAUAAAUGCAAUCGCAUAUCACUGGAUUUCUUGCGCUAUGCGACAGCUUUAGCUCAGCUUGCUAUUUAUCUGGGAAAACCUGUGCACAAAGAGUCAAUUUCUUGUGAUCAAGCUAUGUUAAAUUUGAGAUUUUAAAAAAAUAGGAAAAAACAAGUAUAAAUACACAAGUAAGAAAGCUGAAUAAAGUAUUCAGUCAUUGUGCUAAAUAACAGUACAGACAAGAAGAGAGUGAUAAUUGUCCAAAGGCUUUAUAGCAAACUCCGGUUUUGCAUCUGAUGAAUGAGAGCUCAGACAAAGUGAGUGUGGCUGCUCUGCUGCUUUAUUGUUGAGUGCCUGAGAUGAGAGAGCAGCUGAUUGAGGGAGAGGGCAAAAGGUCCAAGAGGCAGGGAGUUGUGUUGUGAUCAUAUAAAUUAGCUACCCGUCUGCCUUCCACGCUGCUGAAUGUACUCUGUUAUUGUAUUUGCUCUCAUGGUCAAUUAUUUGUUGUGCAAACCAUGGGAUGAGAAUGGGACUAAAUAAAUGGCUCUGACCUGUUGAACCCAGACCAGUCCACCGCAACCAGCCAAUGGACACUCCAGUGACG
Acanthochromis polyacanthus (spiny chromis) is the source of this 5005-nucleotide long non-coding RNA. RefSeq lists it as uncharacterized. The record is from RefSeq and is a predicted model, not a curated record. The transcript is spliced from 4 exons. NCBI's taxonomy places the organism in Eukaryota, Metazoa, Chordata, Actinopteri, Pomacentridae.